Molecule: ribosomal RNA, 253 nt
Filed under: uncultured bacterium
Lineage: Bacteria
Description: partial 16S ribosomal RNA
Rfam family: Bacterial small subunit ribosomal RNA
Source: RNAcentral
UACAGAAGCCUCAAGCGUUACCCGGAUUUACUGGGCGUAAAGGGUGCGUAGGCGGUUAUAUUAGUCUUGUGUUAAAUCUUCGGGCUCAACCCGGAGUUCGCGCGAGAAACGGUAUAACUAGAAGAAGUGAGAGGUGAACAGAACUCUCGGUGUAGGGGUGAAAUCCGUUGAUAUCGAGGGGAAUACCAAAUGCGAAGGCAGUUCACUGGCACUUUCUUGACGCUGAGGCACGAAAGCGUGGGUAGCGAAUCGG